GUUCGUGUCUCUUACUUACAGCAAAAACACAUACAUUUUUCUUUCGGACCAUCUAAACAACAUAUAAAAAUGUGCCGGAUUUUCGCCCUCAUCGUCUGGAAUUUUCAAUUUUAAGGCUACCCGUAACUUUUCUCCAACAUCUUUUCAUGCUUCAAGUUUGAAGUUUGGAAUUGCUGCACUGCAUUAUCAUCGCCGAUAGCCGAUAUGUGUUCCAUUUUAAAGGCACCAUAAUCUUGGAGGAUUUAUUAUAAAAUUAAGGUUUCCAUGAUAAAAAUCCGGGAUACAGGACAGGGAUCAAGAGGGCUGUGAAAUGAAGAAGACUUGCAUCUCAUCACAAAGUUUCUACACAUGAUUGUUAUGGACAAAGUGAC
Molecule: long non-coding RNA, 371 nt
Organism: Neocloeon triangulifer
Lineage: Eukaryota; Metazoa; Arthropoda; Insecta; Ephemeroptera; Baetidae
Exons: 3
Source: RefSeq, a predicted model, not a curated record